Molecule: ribosomal RNA, 598 nt
Filed under: Photorhabdus laumondii subsp. laumondii
Lineage: Bacteria; Pseudomonadati; Pseudomonadota; Gammaproteobacteria; Enterobacterales; Morganellaceae
Description: bacterial SSU rRNA
Rfam family: Bacterial small subunit ribosomal RNA
Source: RNAcentral
GGGCUGGACUGCUGACUACACAUGCAGUCGAGCGGUAACAGGAAAGUGCCUUGCAGCUUUUGCUGACGAGCGGCGGAAGGGGGAGUAAUGUCUGGGGAUCUGCCCGAGGGCGGGGGAUAACCACUGGAAACGGUGGCUAAUACCGCAUAAUGUCGCGAGACCAAAGUGGGGGACCUGAAAGGGCCUCACGCCGUCGGAUGAACCCAGAUGGGAUUAGCUGGUAGGUAGGGUAAUGGCCGGGGGGAGGCGACGAUCUCUAGCUGGUCUGAGAGGAUGACCAGCCACACUGGGACUGAGACACGGCCCAGACUCCUACGGGAGGCAGCAGUGGGGAAUAUUGCACAAUGGGCGCAAGCCUGAUGCAGCCAUGCCGCGUGUAUGAAGAAGGCCUUCGGGUUGUAAAGUACUUUCAGCGGGGAGGAAGGGUUUAGCCUGAAGAGGGUUGUUUUUUUGACGUUACCCGCAGAAGAAGCACCGGCGGACGGCGUGCCAGCAGCCGCGGUAAUACGGAGGGUGCAAGCGUUUAUCAGAAUGACUGGGCGUAAGGCGCACGCAUGCGGUCAAUUAAGUUAGAUGUGAAAUCCCCGGGCUCCCCCCU